UACGAAGGGGGCUAGCGUUGUUCGGAAUCACUGGGCGUAAAGGGCGCGUAGGCGGCCGAUCAAGUCGGGGGUGAAAGCCUGUGGCUCAACCACAGAAUUGCCUUCGAUACUGUUUGGCUUGAGACCGGAAGAGGUUAGUGGAACUGCGAGUGUAGAGGUGAAAUUCGUAGAUAUUCGCAAGAACACCAGUGGCGAAGGCGGGUCUCUGGGCAGUAACUGACGCUGAGGAGCGAAAGCGUGGGGAGCGAACAGG
RNAcentral lists this ribosomal RNA (253 nucleotides) under uncultured bacterium. RNAcentral's name for it is "partial 16S ribosomal RNA". It matches the Rfam family "Bacterial small subunit ribosomal RNA", at positions 524 to 776 of the family's 1533-position model. The record is from RNAcentral.